Molecule: transfer RNA, 73 nt
Filed under: Nanobdellota archaeon
Lineage: Archaea; Nanobdellati; Nanobdellota
Description: tRNA-Asp
Rfam family: tRNA
About the family: Transfer RNA (tRNA) molecules are approximately 80 nucleotides in length. Their secondary structure includes four short double-helical elements and three loops (D, anti-codon, and T loops). Further hydrogen bonds mediate the characteristic L-shaped molecular structure. tRNAs have two regions of fundamental functional importance: the anti-codon, which is responsible for specific mRNA codon recognition, and the 3' end, to which the tRNAs corresponding amino acid is attached (by aminoacyl-tRNA synthetases). tRNAs cope with the degeneracy of the genetic code in two manners: having more than one tRNA (with a specific anti-codon) for a particular amino acid; and 'wobble' base-pairing, i.e. permitting non-standard base-pairing at the 3rd anti-codon position.
Source: RNAcentral
GCUCCAGUAGUGUAGUGGCCCAGCACGCAACCCUGUCACGGUUGAAACCCGGGUUCAAAUCCCGGCUGGGGCG